This is a long non-coding RNA of Asparagus officinalis (garden asparagus), 163 nucleotides long. RefSeq lists it as uncharacterized. The transcript has 3 exons. The record is from RefSeq and is a predicted model, not a curated record. Lineage: Eukaryota; Viridiplantae; Streptophyta; Magnoliopsida; Asparagales; Asparagaceae.
UGCAUUUGAAGCCGAGACUAUACGUGAAUUUACAAUUAGACGGACAAAUUCCACUAGGAUGCAGAUGGAAUGUCCAAAAAUGUUUUGACGAGACCCCGGCGAGACAGUUAGAUUUCUACCGAAAUGAGCUUGACCGCAUGAAGAUUUUUCAGAUGGAAUGGGA